This 521-nucleotide ribosomal RNA is filed under the name uncultured bacterium. Its description in RNAcentral is "bacterial SSU rRNA". It matches the Rfam family "Bacterial small subunit ribosomal RNA", at positions 777 to 1304 of the family's 1533-position model. The record is from RNAcentral.
AAUAGAUACCCUGGUAGUCCACGCCGUAAACGAUGGAUACUAGCUGUUUGUUCGAAAGGAUGAGUGGCUAAGCGAAAGUGAUAAGUAUCCCACCUGGGGAGUACGGGCGCAAGCCUGAAACUCAAAGGAAUUGACGGGGGCCCGCACAAGCGGUGGAGCAUGUGGUUUAAUUCGAUGAUACGCGAGGAACCUUACCAGGGCUUAAAUGUAGAUUGACAGGCGUGGAAACAUGCUUUUCUUCGGACAAUUUACAAGGUGCUGCAUGGUUGUCGUCAGCUCGUGCCGUGAGGUGUCAGGUUAAGUCCUAUAACGAGCGCAACCCCUGUUGUUAGUUGCCAGCACGUAAUGGUGGGAACUCUAGCAAGACUGCCAGUGUAAACUGUGAGGAAGGUGGGGAUGACGUCAAAUCAUCACGGCCCUUACGUCCUGGGCCACACACGUGCUACAAUGGGCGGUACAGAGAGCAGCUACCUAGUGAUAGGAUGCGAAUCUAUAAAACCGUUCUCAGUUCGGAUCGGAGU